Non-coding RNA from Arachis ipaensis, 1317 nucleotides. The record is from RefSeq and is a predicted model, not a curated record. Lineage: Eukaryota; Viridiplantae; Streptophyta; Magnoliopsida; Fabales; Fabaceae.
UUUUAAGUAUUUUAAUUAAUUAAUUAAGUGGAACCACAACAAAGACUAAAAUUAGUUCCUCCUAAUAGAGAAGAGAGAGAUGCUUUGAGUUCUUAUUUACUGUUUAUGACGCAAAAGCUGAUAUGGAGUUAUUUUUUAUGACAGGUGGACCAUAAACAGAAACUGGGAUGAAUUCGCUACUGGAGAUGGUCUAAAUGGGUAUUUUAUAGGAACCGAAAACUUGUUUAAGCCUAUUAAUUGCUUUUUGCUAGACUCUUCAAUAGGUAAACUGCUAGUCUGGUACAGCCAGGACUAUAUAUUCUUUCCCUUAUUCUUCUUUCCUCCUUCUAUAUGUCUAUCAUCUUUGUUUUCCUUUUUUCUAUUUUCGUUCUUGAUUUCUGUGAGUAAAAGAAAAAUGUCUUUUCUUUUACGAUUGUUGUGGUAUUAGCGGCAGCAUAAAAACUAAAAAAGCAUGGUGUUAGAGAUGCGCAGGGCUCUGUUUCCCUAAUAUAAGAUAUUUUAAAAAUGAAGCCUGGCGAUACACAAAAAACUUUCAACAUUGGUUUUGAGAUGUUCCCCUUUCGGUUUAACAUCAGUUAAGAACCCAUAAAUGCAGUCAUGUUUUUAACAUUGUUGGGACUUGAGAUUGGUAGUUUUAGUUUUUAUGGAAGCAAAAGUUCCAUUCAGGAAGUAAGCCUUUUAAGUAUUUUAAGGCUAAGUUCUGUUUCAAUAAUUUAACUUUCCAUUAGUUUCGCCUUUUUCGUGUGUGCAUGUGCACGUAUGCGCGUGUGAUGGCUUUGGUUUUCUUCCCUUCAUGAAAGAGAGAAUUUUGUGACUUUUUCAAAAUUUUCUUUUAAAUCCUUUUGGGUCAUAGAGAAUAGGGGAUCAAGUUCUUUAUCUUUUAACAAGUAUCUUUUAGUUUUUCAAAUUUGAACUACUAGUACCCUUUCCAUAUUUUUCUUCAUUUUGAUAAUUCAAGGUUAGGAAAGGAAGUCUAACUCCCUGGGACCUAGAGUUGUUAACGAUACAUCCCCUUCCCAAAAAACCUUCUAGGAUUUCAACCUCCGACCUUGAGGAUAAAGGUGGCCCAUGAAUUAAUCCAAUUCCCACUAAGAUAACCCAUAUUGGAUCUGAUUCCGUAUAGGUUAGUGCCUAGUAUGGGGUUGAAAAUAAGCUUAAAAUUUUCAAUAAUCUGCUGAUUGUUUUCCCUCUUUCGAAUGAUAAAUUGAUAUGAACCACACUAAAAAAACACUUUGGGAUUAUUUGACAACAGAUUUCAGAGGCAAUUUCCAAUUUUUAAAAGAGAAUGACCUGGUUAAGGAAUUAUCUUCUGGCAGU